This 374-nucleotide ribosomal RNA is filed under the name uncultured organism. RNAcentral's name for it is "bacterial SSU rRNA". It matches the Rfam family "Bacterial small subunit ribosomal RNA", at positions 526 to 896 of the family's 1533-position model. The record is from RNAcentral.
CGGGGGGAGCAAGCGUUGUUCGGAUUUACUGGGCGUAAAGGGCGCAUAGGCGGUCAGCACAAGUCAGUUGUGAAAUCUCCGAGCUUAACUCGGAAAGGUCAACUGAUACUGUGCGACUAGAGUGCAGAAGGGGCAACUGGAAUUCUCGGUGUAGCGGUGAAAUGCGUAGAUAUCGAGAGGAACACCUGCGGCGAAGGCGGGUUGCUGGGCUGACACUGACGCUGAGGCGCGAAAGCUAGGGGAGCGAACGGGAUUAGAUACCCCGGUAGUCCUAGCCUUAAACGAUGAAUGCUUGGUGUCUGGGGUUAUAUAGUCCCCGGGUGCCGUCGCUAACGCUUUAAGCAUUCCGCCUGGGGAGUACGGUCGCAAGACUG